UAUCCUAGUAUCCUCGCUCCUCAGAUGUGGCCCUAGAUCCACCUUCCUCCCUGACCUCCUCGCCACCGCUGCUCGCCCCUCUCCUAGCUCCUCCUAGUCCUAGAUCCAUCUAAAUCGUCGGUGGCAACCAGUAGCAGUAGCCCCACUCGCUCCUCGUUGUGGCGUCUUUCCCCUCCUCUUCGUGCUCUACCUUCUCGUCGCCGCACACACUCCUCCGAUCUAGCCCGUAGCUAUCGUGUGUUUGCAGUUCACGGCGUCCCGCCGCGCCGCUCCCUCCUCCCCACAUUGCCCGUGGCCUUUCCCUCCCAUCGCCAUCGUCGCAUGUGUUGGAGCGCUCCACCGGCCUGCCACGUUCUAGCCAGCAUCGGAGCACCCCCUAUCUUGCCUGGAUGCCCUGACGCGGCGACGCCUAGCGCAAUGCCCAUCUCCAGCAAGCCAGCAGUCGACCACGACCCGAUCCCAGCAAGCGGCAGCCGCAUCACGUAGCAGUCCAGUGUCCCCGCCUUGCUCCAGCACCAGCAAGCAGCUACUGCGUCCGGUCAGGUGGCCAACACCUGUCUACAGGAAAAAGAAUAUUGAAGUUUUUUAGGAGUUGAAAUCAAUUCAUCGAUUUCCAGACAAAGACUCGGCCUAAUACAAACAAUAAUUAUUUACUUGCCUAGAUCGAGGACCUCGGGUGCGCUCAGAAGCUGUUCGACGGAAUGUCGAUAUUCAGAACCUCUAGCUCAAACUAGCGGAACACAUAAUUUGUGUUUAUUUGGCUUAAAGUUUGUAGGCGAAGUUAGUUACAUAGCAUUUUGCAGGACAUGUACAGUUCAAAUCAUAAAUCCAUAUAUAUUGUUUUUAGCACAAUGGCAGGAGCUCAAUUAAGAAGUGAGCAAAGAGAGUUACCAUUUGUUUCGUCCGUAUAGUAAUAAUAACUAAUUUACAUCGUGUAGGCGUCCACAUCA
This is a long non-coding RNA of Zea mays, 950 nucleotides long. RefSeq lists it as uncharacterized. Lineage: Eukaryota; Viridiplantae; Streptophyta; Magnoliopsida; Poales; Poaceae. The record is from RefSeq and is a predicted model, not a curated record. The transcript has 3 exons.